GAUAAACGCUGGCGGCGUGCUUCAGGCAUGCAAGUCGAACGGAUGGUCUACCUUCGGGUAGGCGUUAGUGGCGGACGGGUGAGUAACACGUAAGUAACCCUGCCCAGAAGUGGGGAAUAACUGACCGAAAGGUUGGCUAAUACCGCAUAUGAUGGUCCUUCUCUGGAGGGGCUCGUCAAAGGCUUAGGCCGCUUUUGGUAGGGGCGUUGCGGGCCCGA
RNAcentral lists this ribosomal RNA (218 nucleotides) under uncultured bacterium. Its description in RNAcentral is "partial 16S ribosomal RNA". It matches the Rfam family "Bacterial small subunit ribosomal RNA", at positions 28 to 242 of the family's 1533-position model. The record is from RNAcentral.